RNAcentral lists this ribosomal RNA (479 nucleotides) under uncultured bacterium. Its description in RNAcentral is "partial 16S ribosomal RNA". It matches the Rfam family "Bacterial small subunit ribosomal RNA", at positions 28 to 507 of the family's 1533-position model. The record is from RNAcentral.
GACGAACGCUGGCGGCGCGCUUAACACAUGCAAGUCGAGCGAUGAAAUUUCGACAGAUCCCUUCGGGGUGAAGAUGAAAUGGAUUAGCGGCGGACGGGUGAGUAACACGUGAGUAACCUGCCUUUGACAUUGGGAUAGCCUCGGGAAACUGGGAUUAAUACCAAAUGACACUAACUGAUCACAUGAUCCAUUAGUCAAAGAAAUUCGGUCAAAGAUGGACUCGCGGCUGAUUAGCUAGUUGGUGAGGUAACGGCCCACCAAGGCGACGAUCUGUAGCCGGCCUGAGAGGGUGAGCGGCCACAUUGGAACUGAGACACGGUCCAAACUCCUACGGGAGGCAGCAGUGGGGAAUAUUGCACAAUGGGGGAAACCCUGAUGCAGCGACGCCGCGUGAGCGAAGAAGGCCUUCGGGUCGUAAAGCUCUUUUAUGAGGGAAGAUAAUGACGGUACCUCAAGAAAAAGCCCCGGCUAACUACGUG